CAAAUCGUACCCCAAACCGACACAGGUGGUCAGGUAGAGAAUACCAAGGCGCUUGAGAGAACUCGGGUGAAGGAACUAGGCAAAAUGGUGCCGUAACUUCGGGAGAAGGCACGCUGACACGUAGGUGAAGUGAUUUACUCAUGGAGCUGAAGUCAGUCGAAGAUACCAGCUGGCUGCAACUGUUUAUUAAAAACACAGCACUGUGCAAACACGAAAGUGGACGUAUACGGUGUGACGCCUGCCCGGUGCCGGAAGGUUAAUUGAUGGGGUCAGCGCAAGCGAAGCUCCUGAUCGAAGCCCCGGUAAACGGCGGCCGUAACUAUAACGGUCCUAAGGUAGCGAAAUUCCUUGUCGGGUAAGUUCCGACCUGCACGAAUGGCGUAAUGAUGGCCAGGCUGUCUCCACCCGAGACUCAGUGAAAUUGAACUCGCUGUGAAGAUGCAGUGUACCCGCGGCAAGACGGAAAGACCCCGUGAACCUUUACUAUAGCUUGACACUGAACAUUGAGCCUUGAUGUGUAGGAUAGGUGGGAGGCUUUGAAGUGUGGACGCCAGUCUGCAUGGAGCCGACCUUGAAAUACCACCCUUUAAUGUUUGAUGUUCUAACGUGGACCCGUUACCCGGGUUGCGGACAGUGUCUGGUGGGUAGUUUGACUGGGGCGGUCUCCUCCUAAAGAGUAACGGAGGAGCACGAAGGUUGGCUAAUCCUGGUCGGACAUCAGGAGGUUAGUGCAAUGGCAUAAGCCAGCUUGACUGCGAGCGUGACGGCGCGAGCAGGUGCGAAAGCAGGUCAUAGUGAUCCGGUGGUUCUGAAUGGAAGGGCCAUCGCUCAACGGAUAAAAGGUACUCCGGGGAUAACAGGCUGAUACCGCCCAAGAGUUCAUAUCGACGGCGGUGUUUGGCACCUCGAUGUCGGCUCAUCACAUCCUGGGGCUGAAGUAGGUCCCAAGGGUAUGGCUGUUCGCCAUUUAAAGUGGUACGCGAGCUGGGUUUAGAACGUCGUGAGACAGUUCGGUCCCUAUCUGCCGUGGGCGCUGGAGAACUGAGGGGGGCUGCUCCUAGUACGAGAGGACCGGAGUGGACGCAUCACUGGUGUUCGGGUUGUCAUGCCAAUGGCACUGCCCGGUAGCUAAAUGCGGAAGAGAUAAGUGCUGAAAGCAUCUAAGCACGAAACUUGCCCCGAGAUGAGUUCUCCCUGAGACUUAGAGUCUCCUGAAGGAACGUUGAAGACGACGACGUUGAUAGGCCGGGUGUGUAAGCGCAGCGAUGCGUUGAGCUAACCGGUACUAAUGAACCGUGAGGCUUAACCUUACAACGCCG
Molecule: ribosomal RNA, 1319 nt
Filed under: Salmonella enterica subsp. enterica serovar Enteritidis
Lineage: Bacteria; Pseudomonadati; Pseudomonadota; Gammaproteobacteria; Enterobacterales; Enterobacteriaceae
Description: partial 23S ribosomal RNA
Rfam family: Bacterial large subunit ribosomal RNA
Source: RNAcentral